Molecule: ribosomal RNA, 1405 nt
Filed under: Acidobacteriota bacterium
Lineage: Bacteria; Pseudomonadati; Acidobacteriota
Description: Acidobacteria bacterium partial 23S ribosomal RNA
Rfam family: Bacterial large subunit ribosomal RNA
Source: RNAcentral
GAUCAAACGCAAUAAGGCACACGGUGGAUGCCUUGGCAUCGAGAGGCGAUGAAGGGCGUGAUAAGCUGCGAUAAGCCUGGGGGAGCUGCACAUGAGCCGUAAUCCCAGGAUGCCCGAAUGGGGAAACCCGACCGGCGGCGACGCCGGCCACCGCGCAAGCGGAGCCAACCCGGGGAACUGAAACAUCUCAGUACCCGGAGGAACAGAAAUCAACCGAGAUUCUCCUAGUAGCGGUGAGCGAACGGGGAAGAGGCCAAACCGUGGGAGCUUGCUCCCGCGGGGUUGUGGGACCACAACAUGGGAUGCACGACGCCAGAGUGAAGCGGCCUGGAACGGCCCGCCAGAGACGGUGACAGCCCGGUAACUAGACGCGUACGGCCCCUAGUGGUAUCCCGAGUAGCGCGGAGCACGUGGAAUUCUGCGCGAAUCUGGGGGGACCACCCUCCAAGCCUAAAUACUCCUCGAUGACCGAUAGUGCACGAGUACCGUGAGGGAAAGGUGAAAAGCACGCCAGGUGGCGAGUGAAAUAGAUCCUGAAACCGUGUGCCGACAAGCGGUAGGAGGGUCGUCUUCGGACGGCCUGACUGCGUGCCUUUUGCAUUAUGAUCCGGCGAGUUACUGAUCACGUGCAGGUUAAGGCCUUCAGGGCCGGAGCCAGAGCGAAAGCGAGUCUGAUAAGGGCGAAUUCGUACGUGGUCGUAGACCCGAAGCCGUGGCGAUCUACCCUUGAGCAGGUUGAAGCCGCCGUAACAGGCGGUGGAGGACCGAACCCAUGUGGGUUGAAAACCGCUGGGAUGACUUGAGGGUAGGGGUGAAAGGCCAAUCAAGCUCGGAGAUAGCUGGUUCUCCCCGAAAUAUAUUUUGGUAUAGCCUCGGGAAAUGAGUUCACAGGAGGUAGAGCACUGGAUGGGUCCGGGUCGUGAAUAACGAUACCUCCCCCAACCAAACUCCGAAUGCCUGUUGAAUGCUGCCCGGGAGGCAGUCGCGGUGCGCUAAUGUACCGCGGCGAGAGGGAAAGAACCCAGAACGUCUGCUAAGGCCCCGGAGUGGCGGCUCAGUGUAGCAAAGGAUGUGGGUAUGCUGUGACAACUGGGAGGUUGGCUUAGAAGCAGCCAUUCCUUUAAAGAGUGCGUAAUAGCUCACCAGUCCAGCGUAGCCGCGCCGAUAAUGGUCGGGACUUCAAGCCGCCCGCCGAAGCUAGGUCUUCAUUCCGCAAGGAAUGAGGGGUAGGGGAGCGUUCCCAGAGCCGUGAAGCCGGGGCGGAAGCCUUCCGGUGGAGCGAUGGGAAGUGAGGAUGCCGGAUUAAGUACGCGUGAAACCGGGUGAAAACCCCGGUCCCCGUAAGCCUAAGGGUUCCUGAGCCAUGUCGAUCAGCUCAGGGUCAGUCGGUCCCUAAGUCGAGGCC